AUGUUCUUCAAGAAGUGUUGGGGAACCAUGAAGCAUUCGAUCAUGGAGUUCAUUCAAUGAUUUGACUCUCUGCACACCUCCAACCUUCAGUGGCUAAAUUCGGCCAACGUUGUUUUAUUGCCAAAAAAGGAUGGCGCGGAAGAAAUCUCUGACUAUAGUCCCAUUAGUUUCAUCCACGCCAUCGCUAAAAUCAUUGCCAAGAUUCUCUCGCUCCGGCUUGCGCCCCACAUGGACGAUCUUGUCUCCAACGCCCGGAGUGCAUUCAUCAAAAGGAGAAGUAUCCAGGACAACUUCAUGUAUCUUCGAAAUUUCACCCGAAGUCUUCACAAAUGCAAAACGCCCGCACUCCUCUUCAAGCUUGAUAUAAAGAAGGCGUUUGAAUCGGUCAAGUGGGGAUACAUCCUGGAACUUCUCCAACGAUUGGGCUUCCCUCCAAAAUUCCGGGCUUGGAUUGCUGUGUUAUUAUCAUCUUCUUCAUCUCGGAUUAUGUUAAAUGUGUUGCCCGGUCCUCCUGUCAAGCACGGUCAUGGAUUCUGGCAGGGAGACCCCAUUUCCCCCCUCCUCUUUGUUCUGGCAAUCAACCCCUUGCACAAGAUCCUCGACCUGGCGACGAGAAAGGGGCUCCUCCACAAGAUCUGUGGUCGCGGGUCCGUGGUGCGUACCUCCCUUUAUGCGGAUGACGCGGCGGUCUUUGUGGCUCCUAUCAAGCGGGACAUCGACAAUCUCGCCUCUAUUCUGAGAGGAUUUGGGGACAUGACAGGCCUUUGCUCCAACUUCCAAAAAAGCUCGGUUGUGCCUAUUCGUUGCAACCACCUCGACCUUGAGCAAAUCCUUGAGAGUAUGCCGGCAACACGGGCCUCUUUCCCGGUAAAAUACCUUGGCUUACCGCUUUCAGUUUGGCAACUAAAGAGGGUGGAUUUCCAAUACCUUGAGGAUAAGGCAGCCAGGAAACUGGUUACCUGGGAGUGA
RNAcentral lists this ribosomal RNA (969 nucleotides) under Triticum aestivum (bread wheat). Its description in RNAcentral is "partial small subunit ribosomal RNA". The record is from RNAcentral. Lineage: Eukaryota; Viridiplantae; Streptophyta; Magnoliopsida; Poales; Poaceae.